Molecule: ribosomal RNA, 441 nt
Filed under: uncultured bacterium
Lineage: Bacteria
Description: bacterial SSU rRNA
Rfam family: Bacterial small subunit ribosomal RNA
Source: RNAcentral
UGGCUCAGAGCGAACGCUGGCGGCAGGCCUAACACAUGCAAGUCGAACGGACCCUUCGGGGUUAGUGGCGGACGGGUGAGUAACACGUGGGAACGUGCCUUUAGGUUCGGAAUAGCUCCUGGAAACGGGUGGUAAUGCCGAAUGUGCCCUUCGGGGGAAAGAUUUAUCGCCUUUAGAGCGGCCCGCGUCUGAUUAGCUAGUUGGUGGGGUAAUGGCCCACCAAGGCUACGAUCAGUAGCUGGUCUGAGAGGAUGACCAGCCACAUUGGGACUGAGACACGGCCCAAACUCCUACGGGAGGCAGCAGUGGGGAAUCUUGCGCAAUGGGCGAAAGCCUGACGCAGCCAUGCCGCGUGUAUGAUGAAGGUCUUAGGAUUGUAAAAUACUUUCACCGGUGAAGAUAAUGACUGUAGCCGGAGAAGAAGCCCCGGCUAACUUCGUG